GCUUCUGGAGAACGGCGGAGAGACAUUGCUGGAACGCGCCCCAGGCGCACCCAGAAACCCUUUGUGAACUUAUACCUUACUGUUGCCUCGGCGCUAGCUGGUCCUUCGGGGCCCCUCACCCUCGGGUGUUGAGACAGCCCGCCGGCGGCCAACCUAACUCUUGUUUUUACACUGAAACUCUGAGAAUAAAACAUAAAUGAAUCAAAACUUUCAACAACGGAUCUCUUGGUUCUGGCAUCGAUGAAGAACGCAGCGAAAUGCGAUAAGUAAUGUGAAUUGCAGAAUUCAGUGAAUCAUCGAAUCUUUGAACGCACAUUGCGCCCUCUGGUAUUCCGGAGGGCAUGCCUGUUCGAGCGUCAUUUCAACCCUCAAGCCUGGCUUGGUGAUGGGGCACUGCCUGUAAAAGGGCAGGCCCUGAAAUUCAGUGGCGAGCUCGCCAGGACCCCGAGCGCAGUAGUUAAACCCUCGCUUUGGAAGGCCCUGGCGGUGCCCUGCCGUUAAACCCCCAACUUCUGAAAAUUUGACCUCGGAUCAGGUAGGAAUACCCGCUGAACUUAAGCAUAUCAAAAGCCGGGAGGAAUU
Molecule: ribosomal RNA, 582 nt
Filed under: Alternaria mali
Lineage: Eukaryota; Fungi; Ascomycota; Dothideomycetes; Pleosporales; Pleosporaceae
Description: eukaryotic LSU rRNA
Rfam family: 5.8S ribosomal RNA (bases 206-359)
Source: RNAcentral